RNAcentral lists this small RNA (424 nucleotides) under Histoplasma ohiense. Its description in RNAcentral is "hypothetical lncRNA". Lineage: Eukaryota; Fungi; Ascomycota; Eurotiomycetes; Onygenales; Ajellomycetaceae. The record is from RNAcentral.
UUAACUUAACUACUUGUUCACGAACGACUUACCCCACACUCAAAACAAAGCCCCGUAAAACGAAAAAGGAAAAAAAAAAAAAAAAGAAAGAAAAAGUAUUUCCCCGCACGUCAACUAUCAACUAACGAUCUACGAUCUACAUCAACCCGAAUCCCAGAUCCCAGCCCUGAGAAAUAACAAUAACAACAUCAUCAAAGAAAAGACAUAGACAUAGACAUAGACAGAUGAUAUAUCCCUUCCACGCUAGCCCCCGCUCCCCAACAACCCCGGGUGAGGCAUCAAUAUCUAUAUAACUACUAUCUCCCAUCACCGCCAUCAUACAUACCAUCGUACCAUACUAGACCAUGUCAUAUAUAUAUAUAUAUAUAUAUAUAUAUAUAUAUAUAUAUAUUACCAGAAAAAAAGAAAAGAAAGAAAGAAAGAA